CUGGUCAGGCGGUCACCGCCGCCUCGCGCAUCCAUGCCGCUCGCCGCCGCCGGUGCCAAGCUUUAGCUAGGACUUUCCCUGACUCUCGGCUCGCCGCCCCUAGAUGUUUCAUGCAUACUAAGAUGGUAUACUUCGCGCUCGAUCUCCAAAUUGACGCCUGCCCUCUUGAUCACCAACAAAGGCUUGCUCCGAGCUGAAGCGUUGAUCCUAGCAUCAGCAUCUAAGUUGGCAUUGAGACCCGGUCAGCCAGAAUGGAUCAGUAUUGCUUUUUUGUUUCUGCGGAAAGAGAUCAGUAUUGUUUUCCUCAAUUGCCAUAGCAAAAAGACACUCGCCGUAGAUCAAAUCUCUUGACAUAGCAGCAGAACACUUGCCAGAGAGAAAAUGUUUAUAUGAUCAAACAUCCCCUUGUUAAUGAACGGCUAAGACUAAUACAGAUCCUGCCUUUGGGGGGUAUCUGGAGCUAGCGUUUUGAGAGAGCUCAUUUGGUUAAUGGGCUUGGGUAUUUUCCAUGGGCGCCCGACUCUUUCCCUUUGCCUCCCAAGCCUAAACAUCACAUCUCCAUGCCCACUGCAUCGACCCAGCAAACUCCUAUUUCUUAGUCAAAAAUGAAAACGUUUGAUGUUUGGGGGGAAAUAGUAUGUUCGUAUAUGUAUUCCUCCUCAAGAUGCAAGAGAUUGUCCUCACUCCUGGAAUUGAAUUCACCUGAGAGCCAACAGCCAUAUAAAGCACUUGCACGGCCGAUUCAAUAGGGAUCUGGAUGCAUCUGGGCACCAACUUAAUUAGUAUAUAGUCUUCACUCUUCAGUGCACGAGAUUUUCUUGUCUUUUGACUAAGACCACAUAUGGACGUCAGGACUUUAUUUCAACAAAUGGGAGAAUCAUAUGUAUCCUAAGAUGCACAUAAUAAUUUAUUUCAUAGAUCACUAGAUAAAAAGUUAAUUACAUAGAUCAUGAAAACAAAGUUCACACAAUAAUACUAUAAAUAAUGGCAAAUUUCAUAGAUCAAAAAAUAAAAAUAGUCUGCCGCCUCUUGGAUGUAAAAAUCAAUUCAGGUACAAGAAGUCGUCGAACGGGAACAACCUAUUGUUGCCAUCACCAUAUCAUCUAAAGCCACAACUAGUGUUCUACAACUUGCUAGUAGAUCCCAAUCCUUAAUAAUUGAGAUGGCGUAUUCGGGAAGCUGACCACUCGGUUUGACGUGUCGGACCUGCCCUCUUCACCUAGGUUUGAGGUGGAAGAAGACCUUGACACUACCUCCAAGGAGCGUUUUGGUCAUCUAUGAGUACAUAGCUUUUGGCUCGGUAGAUCAUCUUCUCAACAUCUCAGGCUAGACACCCGAUUUUGUCAGGCACGAUGUUCAUGUAGCAACCAAACAGCCCCUUCAAUCCGGCAGUUGCAGCGUCUGUAUAGUCGUAGAGCUUAAUCUAUGUACCCUAUCCUUAUUCUAGAUUAUGACAAAUAAUCAAAGCAGUAAAUUAAAUUACACGCACGAAGCUAGACUCCACUAAUGCUAAAUUACAAAGAGGGUUAAUUGGCUAAAUUGAAGCCGACAAAAAAACAACGCCGCAUGGAAGUCGCCAUUGACUAAGGCCGCGUUUGACAUUGCGGUGGAUUCUCGUAAUCCCGUUUUUUCAACCAUUUUUCACUAUUUUCAUGUUUGGCUAACCAACUUUUCCCUACUUUCGUGCGUAUUUUUUCACAACAGAUUAUAAAAUAAGUUCAGUGCAUCACAGUUCAACAAUGGCAAACCGAGCCUAAAUAUUUUCAUCCAAGCUAUCAAAUGCAAGAUAUGUAGUUAUUUAAGAGGAUUAGUCACGGUCUCUGCUCUCUAUCUAGUGGAAUCAUCAAUAUCGGUGGCUGAGCUAUCCGUAUACAGCCAUUGGGUUCAAAUGAACUCAAUGGAAUGAAUUAAUCCUCCACUAACAUAAUCUUUGAUUUGCACAUUAGUGAAAAAACAUAAUCUUUGAUUUGCACAUUAGUGAAAAAAUAUGUACCGUAACCAAGGGAGUGAACCCAAUGGUUUGGUUCUCAGCUUCACCACUGAUCAACUUGAGUGACCAACAUUUUCCUGGCACCUCUCACUCCCACGCAUGCCUACGCUUUGCACAAGAGCUCUCACCCUCAAAUCAUCUUCGCAACUUUGCUGCCUUCAUCUCUUCUUUUCUUUGCCUAUGAAUCCAGAGUGGGCAGGUGAGUCAUAUAUAGCCAUUCGCAGCAACUAACGCAAUCAGAGCUUCUUGGUGUUAUGACUUAUGAUUUAGCAAGGAGGUUGUUGCAGUCAGGGGCGGAGCCAGGCCCGUGCUACCGGUGCUGUGGCAGUGACCGGGACAAGCCGAACACUUGUGCUUAGCAAGUCAUAAAACACGCGUACCCAAGCAUGGAAACUGAGCAAUAAAAACAUGUGAUUCAAUAACCAGGUGGCAUGUCACUCCUGCCCACUAGUAUAUAUAGGGAUAUGCACCGUGUACCAAAACGGUUCAAAAUUGCAAAUUUCUGAAACCAUGACAAAAUUGAAGAGUUCUGAACUGAGUCCAGGAAUACGGUUGUUUCAUGCUAGAUAUAUUUUGACCCGUUUGAAAUAAACAUCAAUUCAAGAGUCUCAAUAAGGCGGUUCCAAACUAAAUUUUGCCAAUGGCCGCUUCUUGAUGUCGGCAUUGGUUCUGUUUCCUUUUGGUCACUAGUGAGGAGAAACACACAAAAUUGUGCUGGAUUCGCUUCCCAGGCGCAUGUUGCCAUGCUUUCUAGGCAUACAUCUGUGUUAAAAAAGCGAACACAAAGAGGCCAAAUCUGGACGGAUAUGCCCGGAGUCCACCAUAUCCGCUGGAAGAGGGGCAUGCGCUCAAGCUGGGGGAUAACAGGGUGGAGUAGGCAUGCACGUUCAACAAUGUCCUCGUGUAAAUUAAGCACCGUCAUUUGUCAACGGAAUCCCUAGAUGUUGAUUGUAGUUAUUGAGGCGUCAUUGUUGAUAUGUGGGAUUACGUAACAAGCCUUUUUUUUAUGGUUACCUAUCAAGUCAUAUCAAUUACAUGUAGAUAGAUGAAAAAAGCGCCUCACCAGCCAACAAAACCCCAUGUUUAGAUCGUUGUCUAUUUGAGUCCAUGGCCUUCUCUUCGUGCUAAUGCAUUUGUCUCGAUUACUCGAACACAACUGUUCUUUCGUUCCCAAUUCUCACCCUAGCAAGUGAAGAGUUUCGUGACACAACAUUGGAGACAUAUGGCAGGCCUUAAGUGGAGGCAGACACCUUGGACACCUUGCGUUGUGUGAAAGACCAAGUAUAUUACUAGCAUGUUCUAUUUUCGGCAAAUUCUAUUUUCAACUGGUCCACCGUGAAUCAAAAUCGUGGCCACGCCCACUGAUGCUUCCUGGUCUUUUUUUUUGUGAGAGGUGGUGCUUCCUUCUUUUUUUUUGUGCUUCCUGGUCACGGUCGAGCCCAAAAGCUCGGUGAGGCAAAAGCUCGACCAUCUGUGCAAAAAGCCCGAGCUGAGCGAGCCCUUUUAGCUCGUUCUGGCUUCGGGCGGAGCCGGGCUCGGCUCGGGCCAGCUCGGCGAGCUGAAUUGGAUCGAAGCCCAAUAGCCCAUCGUGAAAUUGUGCAGGCCAUAGCCCAACGUCCCCGUCCCGGCCGCCAUGCCCCUUCCCUUCCCCAUCUCUUCCACGCUUCGCUCUUUUUUUUUUUUUCACUUCCUCGUGUCCCUUCCGCCGGUGCCGCAUCUCUUCCUCGCUGCAAGUGGCCUACCGCCGCCGCCGGCUGCCUCAUGUGGCUGACAGCAGCUCGCCGCUCAUGGCCUCCCGCCGCUGCGUGCAUCUCGCCGCCGCUCGUGGCCUCCCAUCGCUGCGACCGCGCCGCGCCGACCAGAUCCAGUGUGGCUAGGAGGCAAUCAAUCGCAGCCUAAUAAAUCGCAGCGACCGAGGCAAUCAAAGAGCUUCUUGGCAUUAUAAGUCAGCAAGCAGGUUAUUGCACUUGCCGGCCGAGCUGAAAAGGAAGAGAAAGUGUUGGAUAGUCAUAAACCACUCGACAGGAACAUAAAUUCAUGUGAUUCGGUUAGAGUUGGAUGUCGUCACCAGGAUGCUGCUAAAAAAUUAUCGUCAUUUAUACUUCCUCCAAUCCAUAUUAAUUGUCGAAAUGUUACAUGUAUCUAGAUACAUUCAUAUUUGGACAAAUUUGAGACAAUUAAUAUGGAUCGGAAGGAAUACAUUUUUUUAAAGGAGCACUACAAUUAGAGAACAACACUAUUUUGCUUCUCA
Molecule: long non-coding RNA, 4241 nt
Organism: Brachypodium distachyon (stiff brome)
Lineage: Eukaryota; Viridiplantae; Streptophyta; Magnoliopsida; Poales; Poaceae
Exons: 2
Source: RefSeq, a predicted model, not a curated record